AGCGAACGUUGGCGGCGUGGAUUAGGCAUGCAAGUCGAGCGAGAACCGUAGCAAUACGGGGACAGCGGCGAAAAGGACAGUAAUGUGUAGGUACCUACCCCGAGGUCUGGGAUAGCUGCGGGAAACUGCAGGUAAUACCGGAUAAUGUCUUCGGACCAAAGGUGUGAUUCCACCUUGGGAGGGGCCUGCAUCCUAUUAGCUAGUUGGCGGGGUAACGGCCCACCAAGGCGACGAUGGGUAGCGGGUGUGAGAGCACGACCCGCGUCAUUGGGACUGAGACACUGCCCAGACACCUACGGGUGGCUGCAGUCGAGGGUCUUCGGCAAUGGGCGCAAGCCUGACCGAGCGACGCCGCGUGCGGGAUGAAGGCCUUCGGGUUGUAAACCGCUGUCGUAGGGGAGGAAAUGCAGGUGGGUUCUCCCUCCUGUUUGACCUAUCCUAGGAGGAAGUACGGGCUAAGUUCGUGCCAGCAGCCGCCGCAG
Molecule: ribosomal RNA, 482 nt
Filed under: uncultured bacterium
Lineage: Bacteria
Description: partial 16S ribosomal RNA
Rfam family: Bacterial small subunit ribosomal RNA
Source: RNAcentral